This is a long non-coding RNA of Phacochoerus africanus (Common warthog), 1742 nucleotides long. RefSeq lists it as uncharacterized. The transcript has 3 exons. The record is from RefSeq and is a predicted model, not a curated record. Lineage: Eukaryota; Metazoa; Chordata; Mammalia; Artiodactyla; Suidae.
UAAUGUAAAACAAAAAUGCUCAUUAAAUUCGAAUCAUUUUUAAGUUCUUGUUGAAAAGAGAUCAGCAAGCGUUAACACAGUAAAAAAAAAAAAGCCUAUUAAUAUCAAGAAGAGAUUUCAUAAUUAAUGUCACCAAAGGAAACAAAGUAGAAUGGGAGGAAAAUCACUUUGUCUUAUGUGACCAUUUAAAUGUUUGGGGCUGUCUCCAAGAACCACUCAAGAUCAUUUUGCAUAUUUGUGUAUGUUUGCACAGCAGCCCACGGAUGUAGCCUUCAUGUUGGGGUGGCUGAAAUAUCCAGUUAAAAGAAGGACCCUAAAAUGGAUAAUGAGACUCCAGGUUCUUGGUUCUCUUUAGUGUUCAGCACACAAACCAACCUGCUCAGAACCCAAGAUCGAGCAUUUUGGACUGUGGAGUCAGGUUCCAAUUCUCUGUUUUAGCUGUGCAACCUUGGCAAGCCAACCACACCUCUCUGAGCCUCAGUUCACCUACUCAAAGGUAGGUUGGUUAGUAGACCAGAGGGUUGGUCUGAGGAAUAAAGAUGAGAAAUCAUGAGACGGGAAGUCAUGGCUGAGGCAGAGCUGAAACUCACCUAUGUCUGGCAUCUGGGGGUCAGGCCACCCCACUCCUCCAGGUACGUAAGGACCUUCCUUUCCGUGGGCAUCUGAGGCUUUGGAGGUGUGUGUGUGUGUGCUAGGAGGAACAACGUGGACCAUGUUUGGAAUGAGGGUUCAGUUGUCUCUAGUCUUUUCUAGAAGUCAGGGUGUCUCAGAGGAGCAGAAAUAAAGAUUUUAGGAAAUGGAUGUUAGAAAGAGAACCCCCUGCCCCACACCCCAGAAGGAAGGACUCCAGGCCAACCCGCCACCUGCAGGUCGGUGCUGGGGAGGGUGCUGGUGGUUGACAGAGAAACUCAGCCCAGCUCAGCUACCCUUGAGCUAGGUGUGCACUGGGGAGAAGGGGGCUGUGUGGAUGCCGAGGUGAGCCUUGUUAAACGGUGUCACUCUGUGUCCCAACAGGCUGGUCCAGAGCGAAGCACAGCACAGAGUUUCUCCUCCUACUUUGCAAGUGGCAGUGACUUCGGCUAGUGAGGAUGUGGGUGAGGCGUCUGGUGUACAGCAAAGCGAGUCCCUGAGGUUUCUUCAAUGUCCAGUACUUCGCAUACAUACAAACAAACAAAAACUUGGCACAAAGACAGUGAAUAAAACUACUGCUGGAUGACCGCAUCACCCCCAUUUCACGUCCAUGUAAAUCUGUUCUUUCUGAAUGGGUGAAGAAGGCAAGACAAGAGUCACAGGUGUUGCCACACUGUAUCCAUCGUCUGUGACAGCCGAGGACCUGUGCUGCUCAGACGUCCCUGCAAGAAGGACAGCCUGACCCUCACGCCUUCGGCAUCCACUGCCACGGAGCUUCCCCCGGCUGUGGCCAGGAAGUGACUGAGCACAGAGGGUGCUGGGCUAUUCCUGCCCAACGCAGGACCGCCCCCCACCCCAGGGGGCAGGCUCUGCUCUGGGAUCCCCACUGGCUCAGCAUCACCUUCAGUCUGGCUCCUUCCCUCUCUCCCUUCACAGGUGUCAGACCCUCACUCUGGUCUGCAGCCUCUCUCCACCUAUUCCUGCCCCCUCCCCUUUAUCCGCUACUGCUGUUUUCCUGCAACAAACCUGCACAUCAGUUCUGUCAUCUUGGAGGACCCUGAUUACUUAUUAUCAGUACCAUUGUAAUUACAUAACAUUUCCUUUUAAUUGAA